UAGACCCGUGGCAGACGGGGUAGUAACAGGUAGGAACAUACCUAGAAGUCAGGGAUAACCCAUCAAAAGAUGGGAUAAUACUUGAUAGUCUCUUCGGAGUAAAGAUUUAUCGCUUCUAGAUUGGCCUGCUUCGUAUCAGCUUGUUGGUGAGGUAAUGGCUCACCAAGGCUAUGACGCGUAGGGGACCUGAGAGGGUGACCCCCACCAUUGGUACUGCGACACUGACCAAACACCUACGGGUGGCUGCAGUCGAGAAUCUUCCGCAAUGGACGAAAGUCUGACGGAGCGACGCCGCGUGAUUGAUGAAGUCCUUCGGGACGUAAAAAUCUUUUCUCAAGGAGGAAGUUUAUUGACGUUACUUGAGGAAUAAGAGGUUGCUAAACUCGUGCCAGCAGCAGCGGUAAUACGAGUGCCUCGAGCGUUAUCCGGAAUUAUUGGGCGUAAAGGGUGCGUAGGCGGACUUAUUAGUCUCUUGUUAAAGCUUCGGUUAUAACCCGAAAAAAGCAAGAGAAACGGUAAGUCUAGAGGAUGUGAGGGGUAAGCGGAACUAAUAGUGUAGGGGUGAAAUCCGUUGAUAUUAUUAGGAACACCAAAAGCGAAGGCAGCUUACUAGCACACUCCUGACGCUGAGGCACGAAAGCGUGGGUAGCGAAUGGGAUUAGAUACCCCAGUAGUCCACGCCCUAAACGAUGUUCUCUAGCUUUAAUCGGAAUCGACCCCGGUUGAGGCGAAGCUAACGCGUUAAGAGAACCGCCUGGGUAGUACGGCCGCAAGGCUAAAACUCAAAGGAAUAGACGGGGGCUUGCACAAGCGGUGGAUCAUGUGGCUUAAUUCGUCGAUAAACGAAGAACCUUACCAGGGCUAGAAAUCUAUCUGAAAGCUCUAAGAAACUAGAGCCCUCGCAAGACAGAUAGACAGGUGCUGCAUGGUCGUCGUCAGCUCGUGGUUUGAACUGUUCCCUUAAGUGGGGUAACGAGCGCAACCCCUAUUGUGUGUUACAAGUGUCACACAAGACUGCCC
Molecule: ribosomal RNA, 1020 nt
Filed under: uncultured organism
Description: bacterial SSU rRNA
Rfam family: Bacterial small subunit ribosomal RNA
Source: RNAcentral